This 67-nucleotide transfer RNA is filed under the name Pseudorimula sp. RSIO35641. Its description in RNAcentral is "tRNA-Leu". It matches the Rfam family "tRNA". Rfam says of the family: Transfer RNA (tRNA) molecules are approximately 80 nucleotides in length. Their secondary structure includes four short double-helical elements and three loops (D, anti-codon, and T loops). Lineage: Eukaryota; Metazoa; Mollusca; Gastropoda; Lepetellida; Lepetodrilidae. The record is from RNAcentral.
GUUAAGUUGGCAGAAUUAUGUGAUUGACUUAGGAUCAAUAGAAAUAGGUAAAGUCCUUUACUUAACA